GCACUGGUGACGAGUCUCAAACAGGACGAAACGGCUGUCCAGUGC
Molecule: non-coding RNA, 45 nt
Filed under: Echinostoma caproni
Lineage: Eukaryota; Metazoa; Platyhelminthes; Trematoda; Plagiorchiida; Echinostomatidae
Source: RNAcentral